GUCCCCAUCGUCUAGCGGCCAAGGACGUUUGGUUCUCAUCCAGAAAACACAGGUUCGACUCCUGUUGGGGACG
Molecule: transfer RNA, 73 nt
Filed under: Myxococcales bacterium
Lineage: Bacteria; Pseudomonadati; Myxococcota; Myxococcia; Myxococcales
Description: tRNA-Glu
Rfam family: tRNA
About the family: Transfer RNA (tRNA) molecules are approximately 80 nucleotides in length. Their secondary structure includes four short double-helical elements and three loops (D, anti-codon, and T loops).
Source: RNAcentral